GGGCCUAGUGGUUAGAGCGCCCGCCUCGGAUGCAGGAGGUCGUGGGUUCGAUCCCCGGUCGAGACA
This is a non-coding RNA of Potamilus streckersoni, 66 nucleotides long. The record is from the annotation of a GenBank genome assembly. Lineage: Eukaryota; Metazoa; Mollusca; Bivalvia; Unionida; Unionidae.